RNAcentral lists this ribosomal RNA (507 nucleotides) under Triticum aestivum (bread wheat). RNAcentral describes it as "partial small subunit ribosomal RNA". Lineage: Eukaryota; Viridiplantae; Streptophyta; Magnoliopsida; Poales; Poaceae. The record is from RNAcentral.
AUGAAGCUUAUUGUUCGGGCAGCAUCACUAAUAGCUGUGGUUCAGGCCUGGAUCCUGUUGGUCCAUAAGAGAGAUGUUCGUCUGAAUGAGAAACCUCGCAUCCGGUAUGGUCCGAUGUUAAUCUAGGAUCAAGAGAGGAUAGCAAAUCCGAACUUCAUCUACAACUGCAAUGACACAGAAGCUCUAUGGAUGAUUCGAAUGAAAAGAGCACCUUUCGCCAGGCUUGUGAAGACGAUUAGGAGGAGGAGGCUGCUACAAGAUAGCAUCCACACCACCGUGGAAGAGCAAGUGGCUAUGUUCCUCCAUGUUGUUGGUCAUAACCAGAGGUUCAUGGUUGUACACAACACAUUCAGGAGAUCAAUGGAGAGGUACUUCAAGCAAGUGUUUUAUGUUGUUGGUGAGCUCAAAGGGGAUAUGAUCAGGUCACCAACCGACCGGACUCCUAUCAAGAUUCACACUAGCCCAAGAUGGUAUCCAUACAUCAAGGUGAGCACUUACAAUAUGUAG